UUAAGUGACUAAGCGUACACGGUGGAUGCCUUGGCAGUCAGAGGCGAUGAAGGACGUAUUAACUUGCGAUAAGCCCAGAUUAGGUAGUAAAAACCAUUUGAGUCUGGGAUUUCCGAAUGGGGAAACCCACUUACAUAAGUAAGUAUCGCUGCGUGAAUACAUAGCGCAGCGAGGCGAACCGGGGGAACUGAAACAUCUAAGUACCCCGAGGAAAAGAAAUCAACCGAGAUUCCGAAAGUAGCGGCGAGCGAAAUUGGACUAGCCCUUAAGCUUUUUAUGCGUCAGGUGAAACUUCUGGAAAGUUGUGCGAUACAGGGUGAUAGCCCCGUAACCGGCAACGCAUUUAAAGUGAAAUCGAGUAGGGCGGGACACGUGAUAUCCUGUCUGAAUAUGGGGGGACCAUCCUCCAAGGCUAAAUACUACUGACUGACCGAUAGUGAACCAGUACCGUGAGGGAAAGGCGAAAAGAACCCCUGUGAGGGGAGUGAAAUAGAACCUGAAACCGUGUACGUACAAGCAGUAGGAGCACCUUCGUGGUGUGACUGCGUACCUUUUGUAUAAUGGGUCAGCGACUUAUAUUCAGUGGCAAGGUUAACCAUCUAGGGGAGCCGUAGCGAAAGCGAGUGUUAACUGCGCGACUCAGUCGCUGGAUAUAGACCCGAAACCAGGUGAUCUAGCCAUGGGCAGGUUGAAGAUUGAGUAACAUCAAUUGGAGGACCGAACCGACUAAUGUUGAAAAAUUAGCGGAUGACUUGUGGCUAGGGGUGAAAGGCCAAUCAAACCUGGAGAUAGCUGGUUCUCCCCGAAAGCUAUUUAGGUAGCGCCUCGGACGAAUACUACUGGGGGUAGAGCACUGUUAAGGCUAGGGGGUCAUCCCGACUUACCAACCCUUUGCAAACUCCGAAUACCAGUAAGUACUAUCCGGGAGACACACGGCGGGUGCUAACGUCCGUCGUGGAGAGGGAAACAACCCAGACCGCCAGCUAAGGUCCCAAAUUACUACUAAGUGGGAAACGAUGUGGGAAGGCUCAGACAGCCAGGAUGUUGGCUUAGAAGCAGCCAUCAUUUAAAGAAAGCGUAAUAGCUCACUGGUCGAGUCGGCCUGCGCGGAAGAUGUAACGGGGCUAAGUAGUAAACCGAAGCUGCGGCAAUGCACUUUAGUGCAUUGGGUAGGGGAGCGUUCUGUAAGCGGUUGAAGGUGUGUGGUAACGCAUGCUGGACGUAUCAGAAGUGCGAAUGCUGACAUGAGUAACGAUAAAGGGGGUGAAAAACCUCCUCGCCGGAAGACCAAGGGUUCCUGUCCAACGUUAAUCGGGGCAGGGUAAGUCGACCCCUAAGGCGAGGCCGAAAGGCGUAGUCGAUGGGAAACGGGUUAAUAUUCCCGUACUUCUUACAAUUGCGAUGGGGGGACGGAGAAGGCUAGGUGGGCCUGGCGACGGUUGUCCAGGUUCAAGUGCGUAGGCUGAAGAGUUAGGUAAAUCCGGCUCUUCUUAAGGCUGAGACACGACGUCGAGCUACUACGGUAGUGAAGUCAUUGAUGCCAUGCUUCCAGGAAAAGCCUCUAAGCUUCAGAUUGUAAGGAAUCGUACCCCAAACCGACACAGGUGGUCGGGUAGAGAAUACCAAGGCGCUUGAGAGAACUCGGGUGAAGGAACUAGGCAAAAUGGUACCGUAACUUCGGGAGAAGGUACGCUCUUGAUGGUGAAGUCCCUUGCGGAUGGAGCUGACGAGAGUCGCAGAUACCAGGUGGCUGCAACUGUUUAUUAAAAACACAGCACUGUGCAAAAUCGUAAGAUGACGUAUACGGUGUGACGCCUGCCCGGUGCCGGAAGGUUAAUUGAUGGGGUUAGACUUCGGUCGAAGCUCUUGAUCGAAGCCCCGGUAAACGGCGGCCGUAACUAUAACGGUCCUAAGGUAGCGAAAUUCCUUGUCGGGUAAGUUCCGACCUGCACGAAUGGCGUAAUGAUGGCCACGCUGUCUCCACCCGAGACUCAGUGAAAUUGAAAUCGCUGUGAAGAUGCAGUGUACCCGCGGCUAGACGGAAAGACCCCGUGAACCUUUACUACAGCUUGGCACUGAACAUUGACCCUACAUGUGUAGGAUAGGUGGGAGGCUUUGAAGCAAGUACGCCAGUAUUUGUGGAGCCGUCCUUGAAAUACCACCCUUGUAGUGUUGAUGUUCUAACGU
Molecule: ribosomal RNA, 2187 nt
Filed under: Vibrio owensii
Lineage: Bacteria; Pseudomonadati; Pseudomonadota; Gammaproteobacteria; Vibrionales; Vibrionaceae
Description: ribosomal RNA 23s ribosomal RNA
Rfam family: Bacterial large subunit ribosomal RNA
Source: RNAcentral